Hyaena hyaena (striped hyena) is the source of this 1060-nucleotide long non-coding RNA. RefSeq lists it as uncharacterized. The transcript has 2 exons. The record is from RefSeq and is a predicted model, not a curated record. NCBI's taxonomy places the organism in Eukaryota, Metazoa, Chordata, Mammalia, Carnivora, Hyaenidae.
AGCAAAUGCCGGGCGACGCGGAGCUGCCCCCCAGCGUUCGAACUCCCGCGGCCCAGAGGGCGGGCCCCACACCCCGGGGACCUGGAAAAUAUGUAUUUCCUGUAUCUACCAACCCCAAGGACCAACUAGUAAGGACAGAGGCCCCAACACCUAGAUCCUGGUCUCCAAAUAGCAUUCCUCCAGGGCUUCCUGGGGAAAUCCUUGCUGCUGGGUCUAAAGCAAGAAGGGUCAGGAUGACCCCAGGACAUUGUCAUGCCUACAAGCAGAAAACGUUAUUAAAAGAGAAAAGGAUCCUAUGCAAGUGAUAUGGGCUCCGCACUGAACAAAGAGCAGUUUGACCAUCGAAUUGGAAAAUUAUCACUGCAAUCGUGAAACGCACCAAAUAUACCGACACAUACGAGCACGUAAUGACACCACAAACAGAAACAGUGCCGUUGGUCAGCUCUGGAGACUGCUACGACACCCGGUCACCAAUCCGGAAGAUUGAUAAAGGACAAGCAUCAAGUAUGUAUUCUGCCUGUCCCUAUAGACCGCCUUUCAGGGCAAGCCGGUGGGGGAUGCAGAGCAGUCAUUCUUCACGAGAGUCCCAGCUAUCCGACCAAGCCGGGGAGCCGGGCAGGAAACCCCCACCUUGCGGUCCCUAACGGCUGAUGGAGCCGCACUCGCGGGUGAGCGCUGAGGCUGUGGGAUCGCUGAGGCUGUGGGAUCGAGGACGGACUGGGACUCUGUCCUUCACUGCAGAAAUGUCCUCACGCAGACAGAAGCCGCCUUGUAAAAACGUGUGACACCGACACAGAUGACCAGGGUUGUUGCUGAUGGAAUCCCCACGUGAGCUUCUUGAGCCGCGCAGCAGUCGUGUUCAGACCUCACCAAAAUCGAGAUCAAACAAGGCGCGCAGACUGCUUCCAGCUCUUCUCAGGGCUCCUUGUAAGCCACAGCCCCUUGUUCUCCCCUCCCCCCACCCGCCCCCAGAGGAAAUUGGUUGUACUGUGAGUUUCCCAUAUUCUGGACUUAGCUGAGCAACGUAAUGUAACCUAUUUCUAUAAACGGGUGGGUAAGA